This 206-nucleotide long non-coding RNA is filed under the name Elaeis guineensis (African oil palm). RNAcentral's name for it is "long non-coding RNA (EGUI_LNC046300)". The record is from RNAcentral. Lineage: Eukaryota; Viridiplantae; Streptophyta; Magnoliopsida; Arecales; Arecaceae.
GGGUGUCUAUAACUCCGUAUCAUCGAAUAAAAUGUGUAAGAAUAAUCUAUUCGAGAAAAGAGUGGUAUAUCAAAAUAUACACCUCCGUAUCGAUAUAUACGCUUUUAUAUCAAAAUUUUUUAAUAAUAUUUUAUUUUUUUUAUUAUAAGAUGCUGGGACAUCCGGCUCUCAUUCACUAAUAUAUAGGAGUGAAAAGAAGAUGAGGA